RNAcentral lists this ribosomal RNA (217 nucleotides) under Clostridioides difficile. RNAcentral describes it as "partial 23S ribosomal RNA". It matches the Rfam family "Bacterial large subunit ribosomal RNA", at positions 1282 to 1497 of the family's 2925-position model. Lineage: Bacteria; Bacillati; Bacillota; Clostridia; Peptostreptococcales; Peptostreptococcaceae. The record is from RNAcentral.
AUGGGAGUGAGAAUGUUGGCAUGAGUAGCGAGAUGUGGGUGAGAAUCCCACAGGCCGUAAACCCAAGGUUUCCAGGGGAAGGUUCGUCCGCCCUGGGGUAGUCGGGACCUAAGCUGAGGCCGAAAGGCGUAGGGGAUGGACAACAGGUUGAUAUUCCUGUACUACCGAUAACCGUUUGAGAGAAGGGAUGACACAGUAGGAUAAGCUAAGCACACUG